AGAAUCAACGCUGGCGGCGUGCCUAACACAUGCAAGUCGAACGAGAAAGUGGAGCAAUCCAUGAGUAAAGUGGCGCACGGGUGAGUAACACGUGAAUUAUCUACCUCCGAGUGGGGAAUAAACUGAGAGAAAUCUUAGCUAAUACCGCAUAACACUUACGAGUCAAAGCAGCAAUGCGCUUGGAGAGGAGUUCGCGGCCGAUUAGUUAGUUGGCGGGGUAAUGGCCCACCAAGACGAUGAUCGGUAU
This 247-nucleotide ribosomal RNA is filed under the name uncultured bacterium. Its description in RNAcentral is "partial small subunit ribosomal RNA". It matches the Rfam family "Bacterial small subunit ribosomal RNA", at positions 26 to 286 of the family's 1533-position model. The record is from RNAcentral.